UUUUUUUUUUUUUUUUGUUUUUUUUUUCCAAUAUUAGCAAGAGUUAUUACAACUACAACUAUAACUAUAACUGCAACUAUAACUACAACGAUAAGAACUAUCACUACUCUGAAGACAACGAUGUGUUUUCUCAAGAUGAUAACGGAUCUAGCUUCGCCAUCAAUAAGUAUGAGACAAAGGAGUCCAUCUUUGAUGAAACAUCCAUUUGCCUGUUGUACAUUUUUGCAGGACAACCAGCCUGAGCACAAGAGACAUGGUGUACUAGACUUUGUGCGGAAUGUCUACUUCAAAACUCGCAUCUUUAUAUCUGAUAUAUAGAGAGAGGCUGAUGAUUUAUAAACACAAACGAUAAGACUUGUAACAUGAAGUUUGUCGAAAAAGUCAAUCUUUAAAUUCCUUUCUGAACCUCUCUGUUAUGUCAGUGCUUCGGUAUUAUGCUUUAAUGCAGUCACUUGAGGCGUUGUCCUAAUAGGUGCAAAGUUACCCGNNNUAUUUAGGUUUCAUGUUUGUGAUUACUGGAGAACNACUGUGAAGAGACCAACCGNAUCGCGUUUUUUCCCAAUUGUNGAUCUUUCCCAAUGCUUAAUAAAANNCGAAAUCUUAUUUCGAUUUUACAGGCCUGGGCAUUUCACGAAAAANCAUAGGCGUUUUUUUACAUUUUCUNACAGGGAAAACCCNAUAAAANCAAACUUUGNNNAAUAAUCNUGGGCCAAUCCACCUUUUAAUUUUCCUCCCCAACCUUCUGUUNUCAAAGUCUAAAAANAGGNGGGCAANAAAAAGNGUGNUUUUCCCCCNNAAAUAUUGGAAAGAANUNAACCCCCCCAAACGGGCAUUUAUUGGUUUGUGUAUUGGNCANAAAAAAAAACAUAANAANAACNGGCGNCCCCCNANUUUUUCUAUUUUCCAAANAANNNNAGAGGNUCCCCCGAAGAAAAAUNGNGNAAAANA
This 948-nucleotide small RNA is filed under the name Schizosaccharomyces pombe (fission yeast). RNAcentral's name for it is "small heterochromatic RNA precursor". The record is from RNAcentral. Lineage: Eukaryota; Fungi; Ascomycota; Schizosaccharomycetes; Schizosaccharomycetales; Schizosaccharomycetaceae.